This 253-nucleotide ribosomal RNA is filed under the name uncultured bacterium. RNAcentral describes it as "partial 16S ribosomal RNA". It matches the Rfam family "Bacterial small subunit ribosomal RNA", at positions 524 to 776 of the family's 1533-position model. The record is from RNAcentral.
UACGGGGGGGGCAAGCGUUGUUCGGAAUUACUGGGCGUAAAGGGCUCGUAGGCGGCCAACUAAGUCAUACGUGAAAUCCCUCGGCUUAACCGGGGAACUGCGUCUGAUACUGGAUGGCUUGAGUUCGGGAGAGGGAUGCGGAAUUCCUGGUGUAGCGGUGAAAUGCGCAGAUAUCAGGAAGAACACCAGUGGCGAAGGCGGCUUUCUGGACGGUAACUGACGCUGAGACGCGAAAGCGUGGGGAGCAAACAGG